Long non-coding RNA from Ictalurus punctatus (channel catfish), 845 nucleotides. Lineage: Eukaryota; Metazoa; Chordata; Actinopteri; Siluriformes; Ictaluridae. The record is from Ensembl.
GACAAAGUGUGGAAUGGAUGCAAACAAUAAUCGUCUGGAGUCAGGUGCUACCUCUGGAGAUGUUACCCAGUGCACCCAACAUUCACAACAGAAAUCUGCUUCCCACAUCGAGGUGACAGAAAGUGGAAUAGAGGUGGACAGUAAUCGUUUGGAGUCAGAUGGUGCCUCUGGAGAUGAUAAUCAUUGCACCCAACAUUCACCGGAUGAGUCUACAUUCUGCAAUCUGGUGCCAGAUGAAACAUUUGCUGAUGACCAGUAUUGUAUACCGCAGUCACAAGAGGAAACAAGCACUCCUCAGAUAUUGAACCAGAACUGAAACCAUCUACAGAGCAAGCCCAGAAAACCUCAUCUGAGCAAGCAACAGAAUCAACCAGUACCACAUCUGUUCCCAAAGGUGUUAAGGUGGUAAAGAAAAUGGGAGACCAGUGAAGUGAAAGCAUUUGAAAAACAUCUGUACAGGUUCAUAAAAACUUGCACAGUGCCAGGAAAAAAACAUGGUGAGGCCUGUAUUAAAGCUGAGCCUGUUGCACUGAAAGGCAGGGAUUAGUUGUCUGUUAAGUUCUUUGUAAAAAAAAUAGAAUCACUGCCCUUAAAAGGAAAAUGUAACCCAGAAAAAGUCUGCAUGGUUUCAUUUGGUUUUAUUUGCACAGAUCAUUGGUAGUUUUAGUUUAUUAUUAUUAUUAAGUUUAUGGCUUGAAUUUUGUAUUGUACAAUUUAAUUUUUUCUACUUUUUUACUUCAUUUAUGAGAAACUUUUUUUGAGUGUUAAUUAGUAACUGCCUGAAAAUACUAUCUUUGUGAAAAUACUGCAUUGCAAAUGGCAAAAUGUUUCAGAUUAAAAUAAAA